AUUGAACGCUGGCGGCAGGCCUAACACAUGCAAGUCGAGCGCGAAAGUUCUUCGGAAUGAGUAAAGCGACGGACGGGUGAGUAAUACAUGGGAAUCUGCCUGGUAGUGGGGGACAACGUUUCGAAAGGAACGCUAAUACCGCAUACGCCCUACGGGGGAAAGGGGGGGAUCGCAAGACCUCUCGCUAUCAGAUGAGCCCA
This 200-nucleotide ribosomal RNA is filed under the name uncultured bacterium. RNAcentral describes it as "partial 16S ribosomal RNA". It matches the Rfam family "Bacterial small subunit ribosomal RNA", at positions 30 to 233 of the family's 1533-position model. The record is from RNAcentral.